AAAUUGAAGAGUUUGAUCAUGGCUCAGAUUGAACGCUGGCGGCAGGCCUAACACAUGCAAGUCGAACGGUAACAGAAAGCAGCUUGCUGCUUUGCUGACGAGUGGCGGACGGGUGAGUAAUGUCUGGGAAACUGCCUGAUGGAGGGGGAUAACUACUGGAAACGGUGGCUAAUACCGCAUAACGUCGCAAGACCAAAGAGGGGGACCUUCGGGCCUCUUGCCAUCAGAUGUGCCCAGAUGGGAUUAGCUAGUUGGUGAGGUAACGGCUCACCAAGGCGACGAUCCCUAGCUGGUCUGAGAGGAUGACCAGCCACACUGGAACUGAGACACGGUCCAGACUCCUACGGGAGGCAGCAGUGGGGAAUAUUGCACAAUGGGCGCAAGCCUGAUGCAGCCAUGCCGCGUGUAUGAAGAAGGCCUUCGGGUUGUAAAGUACUUUCAGCGGGGAGGAAGGUGUUGUGGUUAAUAACCGCAGCAAUUGACGUUACCCGCAGAAGAAGCACCGGCUAACUCCGUGCCAGCAGCCGCGGUAAUACGGAGGGUGCAAGCGUUAAUCGGAAUUACUGGGCGUAAAGCGCACGCAGGCGGUCUGUCAAGUCGGAUGUGAAAUCCCCGGGCUCAACCUGGGAACUGCAUUCGAAACUGGCAGGCUUGAGUCUUGUAGAGGGGGGUAGAAUUCCAGGUGUAGCGGUGAAAUGCGUAGAGAUCUGGAGGAAUACCGGUGGCGAAGGCGGCCCCCUGGACAAAGACUGACGCUCAGGUGCGAAAGCGUGGGGAGCAAACAGGAUUAGAUACCCUGGUAGUCCACGCCGUAAACGAUGUCUACUUGGAGGUUGUGCCCUUGAGGCGUGGCUUCCGGAGCUAACGCGUUAAGUAGACCGCCUGGGGAGUACGGCCGCAAGGUUAAAACUCAAAUGAAUUGACGGGGGCCCGCACAAGCGGUGGAGCAUGUGGUUUAAUUCGAUGCAACGCGAAGAACCUUACCUGGUCUUGACAUCCACGGAAGUUUUCAGAGAUGAGAAUGUGCCUUCGGGAACCGUGAGACAGGUGCUGCAUGGCUGUCGUCAGCUCGUGUUGUGAAAUGUUGGGUUAAGUCCCGCAACGAGCGCAACCCUUAUCCUUUGUUGCCAGCGGUUAGGCCGGGAACUCAAAGGAGACUGCCAGUGAUAAACUGGAGGAAGGUGGGGAUGACGUCAAGUCAUCAUGGCCCUUACGACCAGGGCUACACACGUGCUACAAUGGCGCAUACAAAGAGAAGCGACCUCGCGAGAGCAAGCGGACCUCAUAAAGUGCGUCGUAGUCCGGAUUGGAGUCUGCAACUCGACUCCAUGAAGUCGGAAUCGCUAGUAAUCGUGGAUCAGAAUGCCACGGUGAAUACGUUCCCGGGCCUUGUACACACCGCCCGUCACACCAUGGGAGUGGGUUGCAAAAGAAGUAGGUAGCUUAACCUUCGGGAGGGCGCUUACCACUUUGUGAUUCAUGACUGGGGUGAAGUCGUAACAAGGUAACCGUAGGGGAACCUGCGGUUGGAUCACCUCCUUA
RNAcentral lists this ribosomal RNA (1542 nucleotides) under Salmonella enterica subsp. enterica serovar Cerro. RNAcentral describes it as "bacterial SSU rRNA". It matches the Rfam family "Bacterial small subunit ribosomal RNA". RNAcentral also lists the same sequence under 1 other name. The record is from RNAcentral. Lineage: Bacteria; Pseudomonadati; Pseudomonadota; Gammaproteobacteria; Enterobacterales; Enterobacteriaceae.